AAAUGAUAAUUGUUGUAUAGGAAGAGUCUUUCAACUUCCUUCUUCUCUCCUGAAUGGAUGCUGCUUCUCUUAAAUUUGUAGCUAGGUUCCCCCAACUAAAGAAACCACAAAAUCCAGUGCUUCUUCGUUCUCCCAAUCAAGUAUCCACUAUUUUGACUUUGUUCCAAUGGCGGCUCUCACCGCCACCCCAGUUGGGUUUUAAAAAAAUUCAUCAUUUGGUGUGCUGUUUUCUCCAAUUUUG
This 241-nucleotide long non-coding RNA is filed under the name Malus domestica (apple). Its description in RNAcentral is "long non-coding RNA (MDOM_LNC003902)". Lineage: Eukaryota; Viridiplantae; Streptophyta; Magnoliopsida; Rosales; Rosaceae. The record is from RNAcentral.